Molecule: ribosomal RNA, 428 nt
Filed under: uncultured bacterium
Lineage: Bacteria
Description: bacterial SSU rRNA
Rfam family: Bacterial small subunit ribosomal RNA
Source: RNAcentral
UCGAGAAUUUUUCUCAAUGGGCGAAAGCCUGAAGGAGCGACGCCGCGUGGGGGAUGAAUGGCUUCGGCCCGUAAACCCCUGUCAUUCGGGAUCAAACGUUGUCAGUAAACAACUGGCAGCCUGAUUGUACCGGAAGAGGAAGGGACGGCUAACUCUGUGCCAGCAGCCGCGGUAAUACAGAGGUCCCAAGCGUUGUUCGGAUUCACUGGGCGUAAAGGGUGCGUAGGCGGUAGGGUAAGUUUGAGGUGAAAGCUCCGGGCUCAACCCGGAAAUGGCCUUGAAUACUAUCCUGCUAGAGGAUCGGAGGGGAGACUGGAAUUCUCGGUGUAGCAGUGAAAUGCGUAGAUCUCGAGAGGAACACCAGUGGCGAAGGCGAGUCUCUGGACGAUACCUGACGCUGAGGCACGAAAGCCAGGGGAGCAAACGGG